CUUCAACAAUAUUGCAAGUCCAACAAUGUUGCAAAUCGCUUCUCUCGGACCACAACAAUGUUGCAAAGAGCUUCUCGCGGAACUAUAACAAUGUUUCAAGUUCAACAAUGUUGCAAAUGGCUUCUCCCGGGACUACAACAAUGUUGCAAGUUCAACAAUGUUGCAAAUGGCUUCUCUCGGGACUACAACAAUGUUGCAAAUGUCGAGUCGAUUUUUCGGAUUUUGUCACAUUUUGCCGAACUUCUGAGCUGCAACUAUGUGGGAAUUUUGAGCAGGGUCAAGUUCAACAAUGUUGCAAAUCGUCCCGCUCAAAAUUGUGAUGGAAAAUGCCGGAUUUUUACUCCUGGCAACAGGAGGAGGAGAACAUGAUAUGCGAAGAAGUAUCCAUAAAAUUUAUUUCUAUCUCUAAACUUACCUUUCGUACCGGAUGAUAUGAACUGCGGACGAGAUGUACCCGGGAAAGUAGAAAAUUGAAGGGAAACGUGUGAGGAAAUAAAGAGAAAUGAAGGGAACUGUUGUUAGGUGUUGUCAGGAUGUUUAAGGAGGUGUUGGAAGGUGUCAGGAAUUGUUAGGAAGUGGUAAGAUUUCUCAGGGGAUGUCAGGAGGUGACAGUAGGUAUUAGGAGGUAUUAGGAAAUGUCAGAGUGUGGCAGGAGGUGUUGGGAGAUGUCAGAAAGUAUUAGAAGGUCUCAGGAGGUGUCGACAUGUGCUAUGAGGUAUUAGGAAGCGUUAGGAGAUGUUAGGUAAAUGUUAGAAUGUGUGAGAAAAUAUAAGAUGGACCCAUUGCCUCAUUUUAUAGGCAACCAGAAUUGCAGACAGGCACGGCGGGUUACGCGAAGCUAGGCUCAGGAAAAAUGCCACUAAUAUUUGGCUAUCGAUGUUACAGAUAAGUGCUCUGGAAAGCACAUGCUUGCGAGAUAAAUAAACCUAGUAGUCUAUAUCGUACUGAAUUUGGAUAUAGUUAAGAGAUCU
This is a long non-coding RNA of Hylaeus anthracinus, 971 nucleotides long. RefSeq lists it as uncharacterized. The record is from RefSeq and is a predicted model, not a curated record. NCBI's taxonomy places the organism in Eukaryota, Metazoa, Arthropoda, Insecta, Hymenoptera, Colletidae. The transcript is spliced from 3 exons.